Molecule: ribosomal RNA, 162 nt
Filed under: uncultured fungus
Lineage: Eukaryota; Fungi
Description: partial contains internal transcribed spacer 1 and 5.8S ribosomal RNA
Source: RNAcentral
GGGUCACGCCCCGGGUGCGUAAAAGCCCCGGAACCAGGCGCCCGCCGGAGGAACCAACCAAACUCUUUCUGUAGUCCCCUCGCGGACGUAUUUCUUACAGCUCUGAGCAAAAAUUCAAAAUGAAUCAAAACUUUCAACAACGGAUCUCUUGGUUCUGGCAUC